Long non-coding RNA from Mandrillus leucophaeus (drill), 1002 nucleotides. RefSeq lists it as uncharacterized. The record is from RefSeq and is a predicted model, not a curated record. Lineage: Eukaryota; Metazoa; Chordata; Mammalia; Primates; Cercopithecidae. The transcript is spliced from 3 exons.
CUCUGGCAGCUCUCCAAGUGUGAGCGGACCGAGACUGCCUGGGGAGGCCUGGAGCCCUUUGGCUCUGCCCUCAGUCUGCCUCUGAGCCAAAACCUGCAGCCGGCCUUGUCACCAGCAACGCUGGGACCCCAAGGUAGAGAGGAUGUAGGAAACAAGGGUUCCCACCAGGAAGUGUGAAGAGUGAGAUGCAGGGACUGCGCAGGCGGCAGGGUCGGAGGGACGCAACCUCCACACGGGCCCCAUCUAGGCCAUCUGUACCCCGGCAAGGGAGGCGCCAGCCCAGCAUGCCUGGCUCAGCGCAGUGCCAGCACAGGCCCCACCCUCACCCCCCGGGGAAGAAAAAAUGGAACCUGUCGGGAGGUUUUUCCCGGCCUCUGCGAUGGCUCCUCCCCUCCCGGCAUUGUUUCUGCGGCCCAGCUUAAGCUUGUCCUCAGCAAUUUGCCGCUCCGCUGCCCCCGAGCUCAAUGCCAGCCCCUCACACAAAGGCGACAUUCACUUCAUCUAAAGGAUUCCCAUAACGCCAGCAGUCUGCCCCACAAAGGCCGGCGCUGCAAUUUUCCACUCCAGGGCCCCGCGGGGCUCACACACAAAUCCGCCUGUGUAGGGCGGAUGCGGCAUUGUUGCGGCUCAGCAGGGAAUGUGCCUGAGCUAAGCCCUCGCCCUGCUUCCCCUCGAGGUCAGCAGGUUAGACAGGAUGGUCCCCCGCAGACCCCCGAGCCGUCCUCAGAGUGGAACGUGGGGCCAGCCAUGCCCCGCCAGCCCCUUCCAGAACAAAGCCGGCAGGCAGAGUGUGCCACAGACCCCCGAGGCCCUCCAAGGCUGGAGUUAGGUUGGGGAGAGGAUCCUCUGUGGGGGGUUGAGAGAUAAUUGUGUCCCACAGCACACACUGGGCGCUCACCACUGCCAGAACGUGCAGGUCAUGGUGACGAGGACAGAGCCAGUGAUGCCCCGCCCUUCCCCUGCCAGCCAGCACUUAAUGUGCCCAUCACUGGGUGUCACUUU